CUGCGAAUGGCUCAUUAAAUCAGUUAUCGUUUAUUUGAUAGUACCUUACUACACGGAUAUCUGUGGUAAUUCUAGAGUUAAUACGUGCUAAAAACCCCGACUUCGGGAGGGGUGUAUUUAUUAGACUAAAAACCAAUGCCCUUCGGGGCUCCUUGGUGAUUCAUAAUAACUCAACGAAUCGCAUGGCCUUGAGCCGGCGAUGGUUCAUUCAAAUUUCUGCCCUAUCAACUUUCGAUGCUAGGGUAGUGGCCUAGCAUGGUGACAACGGGUAACGGGGGAUUAGGGUUCUAUUCCGGAGAGGGAGCCCGAGAAACGGCUACCACAUCCAAGGAAGGCAGCAGGCGCGCAAAUUACCCAAUCCCGACACGGGGAGGUAGUGACAAUAAAUACUGAUACAGGGCUCUUUUGGGUCUUGUAAUUGGAAUGAGUACGAUUUAAAUACCCUAACGAGGAACAAUUGGAGGGCAAGUCUGGUGCCAGCAGCCGCGGUAAUUCCAGCUCCAAUAGCGUAUAUUAAAGUUGUUGCAGUUAAAACGCUCGUCGUUGAACCUUGGGCCUGGGCGAUCGGUCCCCCUCACCGGGAGCACUGGUUCGGCCGGGCCUUUCCUUCUGGGGAUCCGCAUGCCCUUCACUGGGCGUGCUGGGGAACCAGGACUUUUACUUUGAAAAAAUUAGAGUGUUCAAAGCAGGCCUUUGCUCGAAUACCUUAGCAUGGAAUAAUAGAAUAGGACGCGGUCCUUUUUUU
Molecule: ribosomal RNA, 745 nt
Filed under: Jahnula sangamonensis
Lineage: Eukaryota; Fungi; Ascomycota; Dothideomycetes; Jahnulales; Aliquandostipitaceae
Description: SSU rRNA
Rfam family: Eukaryotic small subunit ribosomal RNA
Source: RNAcentral